UGACGCCUAGCUUGUCCGUUUGCAAUGUGACAUGAGUGGAGUGGCCUAUUUGUGUGCGAUGGGACACGCACGCAGACCGACCUCAUGCCCCACGUGGACGGGACGUGCGCACAGUGCGCACCUCUAGUGUUGGCCACGCACAAGCACACGCGCUCGUUGUGUGAUGCCUGAGCAGUCAUGUCUUUCCCCUAGGUGUUUUCCUGUGGGUUUUCCGCCCCAUU
RNAcentral lists this long non-coding RNA (221 nucleotides) under Carica papaya (papaya). RNAcentral's name for it is "long non-coding RNA (CPAP_LNC010962)". The record is from RNAcentral. Lineage: Eukaryota; Viridiplantae; Streptophyta; Magnoliopsida; Brassicales; Caricaceae.